CCUACGGGAGGCAGCAGUAAGGAAUAUUGGUCAAUGGAGGGAACUCUGAACCAGCCAUGCCGCGUGAAGGAUGACGGCCCUCUGGGUUGUAAACUUCUUUUGGAUGGGGCGAAAAAACGGGAUUUAUCCUGGACUGACGGUACCAUCAGAAUAAGCACCGGCUAACUCCGUGCCAGCAGCCGCGGUAAUACGGAGGGUGCAAGCGUUAUCCGGAAUCACUGGGUUUAAAGGGUGCGUAGGCGGUUGUAUAAGUCAGGGGUGAAAGGAUGCAGCUUAACUGUAUAAUUGCCUUUGAUACUGUAUGACUUGAAUAAGGUUGAGGUUGGCGGAAUGUGACAUGUAGCGGUGAAAUGCUUAGAUAUGUCAUGGAACACCGAUUGCGAAGGCAGCUGACUGGGCCUUUAUUGACGCUGAGGCACGAAAGCGUGGGUAGCGAACAGGAUUAGAUACCCUGGUAGUCCACGCCCUAAACGAUGUCAACUAGUUGUCGGGCCUAAUUGAGGGUUUGGUAACGUAGCUAACGCGUGAAGUUGACCGCCCUGGGRGACGUACGAUCGCAAGAU
RNAcentral lists this ribosomal RNA (563 nucleotides) under uncultured organism. Its description in RNAcentral is "bacterial SSU rRNA". It matches the Rfam family "Bacterial small subunit ribosomal RNA", at positions 338 to 894 of the family's 1533-position model. The record is from RNAcentral.